This 455-nucleotide ribosomal RNA is filed under the name uncultured Methanomicrobiales archaeon. Its description in RNAcentral is "bacterial SSU rRNA". It matches the Rfam family "Archaeal small subunit ribosomal RNA", at positions 886 to 1338 of the family's 1478-position model. The record is from RNAcentral. Lineage: Archaea; Methanobacteriati; Methanobacteriota; Methanomicrobia; Methanomicrobiales.
AGGUGGAGCCUGCGGUUUAAUCGGACUCAACGCCGGGAAAACUCACCAGAUAAGACAGCUGAAUGAUAGUCGGGCUGAAGACUCUACUUGACUAGCUGAGAGGAGGUGCAUUGGCCGUCGUCAGUUCGUACUGUGAAGCAUCCUGUUAAGUCAGGCAACGAGCGAGACCCACGCCAACAGUUGCCAGCUCGUCCUCCGGGAUGGUGGGGACACUGUUGGGACCGCCUCUGCUAAAGAGGAGGAAGGAAUGGGCAACGGUAGGUCAGCAUGCCCCGAAUUAUCUGGGCUACACGCGGGCUACAAUGGGUGGGACAAUGGGUAUCGACACCGAAAGGUGAAGGCAAUCUCCUAAACCCAUCCUUAGUUCGGAUUGUGGGCUGCAACUCGCCCACAUGAAGCUGGAAUCUGUAGUAAUCGUGUCUCAAAAUGGCACGGUGAAUACGUCCCUGCUCCUU